Molecule: ribosomal RNA, 478 nt
Filed under: uncultured bacterium
Lineage: Bacteria
Description: partial 16S ribosomal RNA
Rfam family: Bacterial small subunit ribosomal RNA
Source: RNAcentral
GACGAACGCUGGCGGCGUGCUUAACACAUGCAAGUCGAACGGUAAGGCCCUUCGGGGUACACGAGUGGCGAACGGGUGAGUAACCCGUGGGUGAUCUGCCCUUCACUUCGGGAUAAGCAUGUGAAACUGGGUCUCAUACCGGAUCGGAACCUGGGAUGCAUGUCCUGGGGUGGAAAGCUUUUGCGGUGUGGGAUGGGCCCGCGGCCUGCCAGCGUGUUGGUGGGGUGAUGGCCUACCAAGGCGACCACGGAUAGCCGGCCUGAGAGGGUGACGGGCCACACUGGGACUGAGAUACGGCCCAGACUCCUACGGGAGGCAGCAGUGGGGAAUAUUGCACAAUGGGCGCAAGCCUGAUGUAGCGACGCCGCGUGAGGGAUGACGGCCUUCGGGUUGUAAACCUCUUUCAGCACCGACGAAGCGCAAGUGACGGUAGGUGCAGAAGAAGGACCGGCCAACUACGUGCCAGCAGCCGCCGUAA